CCUACGGGGGGCAGCAGUGAGGAAUAUUGGUCAAUGGCCGCAAGCCUGACCCAGCAACGCCGCGUGAAGGAAGAAGGCUUUCGGGUUGUAAACUUCUUUUGUCAGGGAAGAGUAGAAGACGGUACCUGACGAAUAAGCCACGGCUAACUACGUGCCAGCAGCCGCGGUAAUACGUAGGUGGCAAGCGUUGUCCGGAUUUACUGGGUGUAAAGGGCGUGUAGCCGGGUUGACAAGUCAGAUGUGAAAUCCUGCGGCUUAACCGCAGAACUGCAUUUGAAACUGUUGAUCUUGAGUACUGGAGAGGCAUACGGAAUUCCUAGUGUAGCGGUGAAAUGCGUAGAUAUUAGGAGGAACACCAGUGGCGAAGGCGGUCUGCUGGACAGCAACUGACGGUGAGGCGCGAAAGCGUGGGGAGCAAACAGGAUUAGAUACCCUUGUAGUC
This 442-nucleotide ribosomal RNA is filed under the name uncultured bacterium. RNAcentral's name for it is "partial 16S ribosomal RNA". It matches the Rfam family "Bacterial small subunit ribosomal RNA", at positions 338 to 795 of the family's 1533-position model. The record is from RNAcentral.